GCUACUUUAGCACAGUGGUAGUGCAUUUGACUUGUAAUCAAAAGGUCCGCAGUUCAAUCCUGCGAAGUAGCU
This is a transfer RNA of Fragilariopsis cylindrus CCMP1102, 72 nucleotides long. It matches the Rfam family "tRNA". Rfam says of the family: Transfer RNA (tRNA) molecules are approximately 80 nucleotides in length. Lineage: Eukaryota; Bacillariophyta; Bacillariophyceae; Bacillariales; Bacillariaceae. The record is from Rfam.